Molecule: unclassified non-coding RNA, 3959 nt
Filed under: Polistes fuscatus (common paper wasp)
Lineage: Eukaryota; Metazoa; Arthropoda; Insecta; Hymenoptera; Vespidae
Description: plasma membrane calcium-transporting ATPase 3, transcript variant X7
Source: RNAcentral
GGAAUCGAACGGGGCGAUUCGUUGGCGGCAAACACAACGGCGGAGUGCUUAGAAAUCGCGAAUAAAUGUGUCGGUCACGGUAUAAGACGUGAGAGAAGAGAAACGGGGGCCACCGGCAAGCCGAGGUUUAUUUUUAGUGGCAAGCGCCAAGCAGCAAGCGGAGUGGUAUAAACGGCGCGCACAGUGGCCCGAUGAAGCGGCGUUUGUGACAUCAAAUUUCUCCUCUCUUGCCACCUCGAGAACGGACACCCCGAGACAUCUCGCCGUCGGACCAUCCACGCUGUUUGUCCUCCGAUUAUUUGGAGGACAGUGGAGCAGGGACGUUAGGGAUCAAUAAGAGCUGGUAGCUUAAGAGAAGAAUAUUAGAGUUGGCUUAGGCCAACUACGGUAACUAAGGCAAAAUGGCGACAAUAGAUGGCCGACCAGCCCAAUAUGGAAUUACUCUUAAGCAACUUCGGGAGCUCAUGGAGCACAGAGGUCGUGAAGGUAUCAAUAAGGUCAAUAGUUAUGGUGGUGUACAAGAGAUAUGUAAAAAGUUAUAUACUUCACCCAGCGAAGGUCUCAGUGGGUCGACAGCAGACAUUCAACAUAGGAGAGAUACAUUUGGCUCCAACAUGAUUCCUCCAAAGCCACCUAAGACGUUUUUAACAUUAGUAUGGGAAGCUUUACAAGAUGUUACAUUAAUCAUCUUGGAAAUAGCAGCUUUGGUUUCGUUAGGUCUUAGUUUUUAUCAACCAGUGGAUGAAGAAAGCACGGGGUCGUCGUUUGAAGAAGACGAAGGAAAAUAUGGUUGGAUUGAAGGACUCGCUAUAUUGAUUUCUGUUAUUGUGGUGGUGAUAGUGACGGCAUUCAAUGACUAUUCCAAAGAAAGACAGUUUAGGGGUUUACAAAAUCGAAUCGAAGGAGAACACAAAUUCUCUGUUAUUCGACAAGGAGAAGUUAAACAGAUUUCGGUAUCUGACAUUGUUGUAGGUGACAUAUGUCAGAUAAAAUAUGGAGACCUACUACCUGCAGAUGGUAUCCUUAUACAAAGUAAUGAUCUUAAAGUGGAUGAAUCCAGUUUAACUGGAGAAUCGGAUCAUGUAAAGAAAGGAGAAGCGUUCGAUCCUAUGGUUCUUUCAGGCACUCACGUGAUGGAGGGAUCUGGAAAAAUGUUAGUGACGGCGGUAGGUGUUAACUCUCAGGCUGGUAUAAUCUUCACCUUGUUAGGUGCUGCUGUUGACCAGCAAGAGCAAGAGAUAAAGAAGAUGAAAAAAGAGGCUAAAAAGCAGCGGAAGAAGAAGUCAUUACCAGGAGACGAAGCGGCAGAAAUUACCGGAAACAGCCAUGCUGUUGGGAGUGGUGGCGGAGGUGGUGGUAAACACGAGGGUGGAGAAAAUCAUCAUGGAGGUGGACAAGCAAGUGGCGGAGAGAGUAGUAAGAAGGAGAAGAGCGUACUGCAAGCUAAAUUAACAAAGCUCGCCAUACAGAUCGGUUAUGCCGGCUCGACCAUAGCAGUACUCACCGUGAUCAUUCUUGUUAUACAAUUUUGUGUGUCGACUUUCGUAAUCGAUGGAAAGCCAUGGAGGAACACUUAUGCCGGUGAUCUGGUACGGCAUUUGAUUAUCGGUGUGACUGUCCUCGUCGUAGCCGUACCCGAAGGCCUUCCUCUAGCUGUCACCUUAUCUCUCGCUUAUUCCGUCAAGAAAAUGAUGAAGGACAACAAUUUGGUGCGGCAUUUGGAUGCUUGUGAAACGAUGGGUAACGCUACCGCCAUUUGUUCGGAUAAAACCGGAACCCUAACGACCAACCGAAUGACAGUGGUGCAGUCCUACUUGUGCGAGAAAAUGAGCAAAACGGUUCCAAGUUUUUCCGAAAUCCCAAGCCACGUCGGAAAUUUAUUAAUUCAAGCCAUCUCCAUUAAUUCGGCAUACACGUCCAGAAUCAUGCCCUCGCAAGACCCUUCAGAAUUGCCGAUGCAAGUCGGUAACAAAACCGAAUGUGCCUUACUUGGAUUCGUAGUGGCCCUGGGCGAAAAAUAUCAAACGAUUAGAGAUGACCACCCUGAGGAAACUUUCACGCGGGUCUAUACUUUCAAUAGCGUUAGGAAGAGCAUGUCCACCGUUAUCCCAAGAGAAGGUGGUGGUUACAGGCUUUUCACCAAGGGCGCUUCCGAGAUCAUCAUGAAGAAAUGUGCCUUUAUCUACGGUCGCGACGGUCAUCUGGAAAAAUUUACGAGAGAGAUGCAAGAACGUCUAGUGAAGAACGUGAUAGAACCAAUGGCGUGCGACGGUCUACGUACAAUUUCGAUCGCAUAUCGCGACUUUGUACCGGGGAAGGCGGAGAUCAACCAAGUACACUCGGACAACGAGCCAAAUUGGGACGACGAGGAAAACAUCGUGAACAAUUUAACAUGUCUCGGUAUAGUUGGUAUCGAGGAUCCGGUACGUCCCGAAGUACCAGACGCCAUUAAAAAGUGCCAAAAGGCUGGUAUAACGGUGCGAAUGGUAACCGGUGACAAUAUUAAUACGGCUAGGUCGAUCGCCUUGAAGUGCGGCAUAUUUAAACCGAAUGAGGACUUUCUUAUUCUCGAAGGGAAGGAGUUUAAUCGAAGAAUCAGGGACAGUAACGGUGAGGUACAACAACAUCUGUUGGACAAAGUGUGGCCGAAAUUAAGGGUUUUGGCUAGAUCAUCGCCAACCGAUAAGUAUACUUUGGUAAAGGGCAUUAUCGACAGUAAAGCUACGAGCAGUCGCGAGGUUGUAGCCGUGACCGGUGACGGUACGAACGAUGGUCCGGCAUUGAAAAAAGCUGACGUUGGAUUUGCAAUGGGUAUAGCUGGAACGGACGUGGCCAAGGAAGCUUCCGACAUCAUUUUGACGGACGAUAAUUUUUCUUCCAUCGUUAAGGCCGUUAUGUGGGGCAGGAACGUCUACGAUAGUAUAGCAAAGUUCUUGCAAUUUCAGCUGACCGUUAAUGUUGUAGCUGUUAUCGUCGCCUUUAUCGGAGCAUGUGCUGUACAAGAUUCACCAUUAAAAGCGGUACAAAUGUUGUGGGUUAAUUUGAUUAUGGACACGCUAGCCUCGCUUGCCCUUGCUACCGAAAUGCCUACGCCGGAUCUUUUACUUCGCAAGCCCUACGGACGCACAAAACCGCUCAUCUCAAGGACGAUGAUGAAAAAUAUUCUUGGUCAGGCGGUUUAUCAGUUGACUGUUAUUUUUAUGCUUCUUUUCGUUGGUGACAAGAUGCUGGAUAUCGAUACUGGUCGAGGAGUUGCGGCUAAAGGUGGCGGACCCACUCAACAUUUCACCGUCAUCUUUAAUACCUUCGUCAUGAUGACUCUUUUCAACGAAUUUAAUGCCAGAAAAAUUCACGGUCAGCGCAAUGUCUUCCAGGGAAUAUUCACCAACCCUAUAUUUUAUUCUAUUUGGAUCGGCACGUGUUUUUCGCAGGUGAUCAUCAUACAAUACGGUAAAAUGGCCUUUAGCACAAAAGCUCUUACGUUAGAACAAUGGAUGUGGUGCCUGUUCUUCGGAAUCGGGACGCUAUUGUGGGGCCAAGUAGUCACGACUAUUCCUACACGGAAGAUACCCAAAAUUCUCUCAUGGGGCCGCGGCCAGCCGGAUGAUAUCGGUGCUAUCAAUCUAGGAGACGAGAAAUUCGACCCAGACUCGGAUAAAAAGCCGCGAGCAGGACAAAUACUAUGGAUCCGUGGUCUAACACGGCUACAGACACAGCCAGCGGAACCCAUUCGAGAGACUGAGGUAUAACGAGGCGGCAGUCUUGCCAGCCGCCACACUUUUCCUGUCGGAGUACAAACAACUUCGAGUAAUCAGAGCGUUCAAGUCGACUCUGGAAGAUCUGGAGGAGCGUCGCUCUGUCCAUAGUUUACACAGCUUACACAGUAUGCGCAGCUCACGCAGCCACACCGGGCCAAGGCCAUUAUCCGACUUCACAUACAUUGACGAAGACCCUACAAA